GAAUCAAAGUCUGUAGAUUUGCAGCGAACAGGCUGAUGAAGGGUAUAGGCAAAGAUGGCUUUUAGGGGAGUGGGUGCCUUGGGUAUUACCUUAGUUUCAGAAAUGAGAAAGCAGUGAGGAUCAGCACCAGCCCUUUGGACAACAGACAACUCGGGGGGAGAAUGUCCUUUCAGGAUGAAUAUGGCUCAUUCAAGAAUUAACUCUCUACUCAUCUUCUACCUCAGUUUUUUGCUGCUCAUCAAUCUAAAAAGUAAGAUUUGCACUUCUUAUUGUUCUGACAUGUCCUCUGGGUAGAUGGCUAGACAUGCACUUCUAGCAGGAAGUUUGUGUUGUCAGAAGGCUUUAAAAAUUUGAUAGGCAUGCCAAAAAGAUUUGAUCCAUGAAGCAAAGUUGUAUGAAUUCGUUGCAUGAUAGCUUUCCUGAUCUUCAUGUUUAAACUUUUUUUUUUUUAAAUGAGGAAUGAAAGCAUUUUUAAUACCUUGCUUCACAUAUUUAAAAUACAACAAUAAAAUAUUCUGUUAAAACUGUACCUAUAAAGUCAGCAUUUUGCUACCACUCAUCCAGUAAAUUUAAACCUAUCUGAUUAAACUUGAGACUAAUUUGUGCUUUGCUCAAGCUGUUCAUGUUAUGUAUUUUAAUAGAACUCAUUGCUUUAUUAUAUAUGCUGUUAAAAUUCCAACCUCUAGAGAAAUCAGUUAUUCGACAACUGUGAUAUAUUUGAUGUUCUAAAUGUCUCCAUUACGAGGGAGUAUAAAAGUCCAACUAUUUUUAUAGAGAAAAUAUUCUCGGCAAACUUCCACAUAAACAGAAGUAUGCAAAAUAUUGGAAGUCACAAUGGGUUUCCUUGAUAAUUGUGUCAGAUGGUUGAGAGUAAAUACAAGCCAAGGAGCUAAAUGGCCUCAGCUGGUGAGGCUGAUGUAUGUGUAUGAAAAGCAGUAGCUCUUGAACCUGUUUAAAAUUAAGACAGGCAGGAUGUGUGUCUGUCUGAGGAGGCUGUUUGAUUUGCGUCUGUUGAAUGUGAAUCGCAGUAAGACAAAGCUUUGAGCAGCUGCCAUUAAACAAGAAGACUGCAUUAGCAUACAGUGUUGUGUAAUCUGGGUCACCUUCUGUUGCUGCAUCACUCAAAUUGUUACUUGGACAGUUUACAGCCCAACAUAAAUUAAAUACUGAAUAGCAAACAGAUGCAGUUGGAUCAACUAGCACUGAAAAAAAAAAACCAACCAACCAACAAACCCAAACCACCCAACAAAACCCGUAAUAAAACCCUCA
This 1269-nucleotide long non-coding RNA is filed under the name Strigops habroptila (Kakapo). RNAcentral's name for it is "lncRNA (ENSSHBG00005008785.1)". Lineage: Eukaryota; Metazoa; Chordata; Aves; Psittaciformes; Psittacidae. The record is from RNAcentral.